Molecule: transfer RNA, 66 nt
Filed under: Colasposoma dauricum
Lineage: Eukaryota; Metazoa; Arthropoda; Insecta; Coleoptera; Chrysomelidae
Description: tRNA-Trp
Source: RNAcentral
AAGGAUUUAAGUUAAAUAAACUAUUAACCUUCAAAGUUAAAAAUAGAAUAAAUUUUCUAAGCCUUA